Molecule: small RNA, 559 nt
Filed under: Pan troglodytes (chimpanzee)
Lineage: Eukaryota; Metazoa; Chordata; Mammalia; Primates; Hominidae
Description: retained intron
Source: RNAcentral
UGGUUUUUAAAAAAUGUGUCUGUGGAAGUUUAAUUUUUAUGUAGUCACAUCUCUCAGUUUUUUUCCAUUGCAUUUAUUCUCAGAAUGCUUCUCCCUGCCCUGAGAUUAGAUAAGCAGUCAUUUGUUCUUUCUUGAGUUAUUUUGAGAUUUCAGUUUUAACAUUUUCUUCUAUAAUCCAUGUGGCUGGGUUUUGGGAUCUGGCUAACCCCCGCCAUGCCAGUAGCCUGAGGGGCCCAGCCCCACUUGUUGAACAGCCGCUCUCCCCGCCCCACCCUGCCUGCCCACCCGCCCUGGUCUCUCCAGGAAUCAUGUUCGUUCAGGAGGAGGCCCUGGCCAGCAGCCUCUCGUCCACUGACAGUCUGACUCCCGAGCACCAGCCCAUUGCCCAGGGAUGUUCUGAUUCCUUGGAGUCCAUCCCUGCGGGACAGGCAGCUUCCGAUGAUUUAAGGGACGUGCCAGGAGCUGUUGGUGGUGCAAGCCCAGAACAUGCCGAGCCGGAGGUCCAGGUGGUGCCGGGGUCUGGCCAGAUCAUCUUCCUGCCCUUCACCUGCAUUGGCUA